Molecule: microRNA precursor, 195 nt
Organism: Oryza sativa Japonica Group (Japanese rice)
Lineage: Eukaryota; Viridiplantae; Streptophyta; Magnoliopsida; Poales; Poaceae
Rfam family: MIR812 microRNA precursor family
Source: Rfam
AAAGACUCAAUUUAUAGGUUUUCGUGUCUAACGUUUGACCGUCCGUCUUAUUUGAAAAUAUUAUAAAAAAAAUUAAAAAGAUAAAUCACACAUAAAAUAUUAUUCAUGAUUUAUCAUCUAACAACAAUGAAAAUACUAAUUAUAAAAAAAUUUCAUAUAAGACGGACAGUCAAACGUUAAACACAAAAACUCAGG